UGGGGAAUUUUGGACAAUGGGCGCAAGCCUGAUCCAGCCAUGCCGCGUGAGUGACGAAGGCCUUAGGGUUGUAAAACUCUUUCGUCGGGGACGAUAAUGACGGUACCCGAAGAAGAAGCUCCGGCUAACUUCGUGCCAGCAGCCGCGGUAAUACGAAGGGAGCUAGCGUUAAUCGGAAUUACUGGGCGUAAAGCGUGCGCAGGCGGUUCUAUAAGACAGAUGUGAAAUCCCCGGGCUCAACCUGGGAAUGGCAUUUGUGACUGUAGAGCUAGAGUACGGUAGAGGGGGAUGGAAUUCCGCGUGUAGCAGUGAAAUGCGUAGAUAUGCGGAGGAACACCGAUGGCGAAGGCAAUCCCCUGGACCUGUACUGACGCUCAUGCACGAAAGCGUGGGGAGCAAACAGGAUUAGAUACCCCCGUAGUCCCUGAGCGGGCUGGCAAGGCGCAU
This 447-nucleotide ribosomal RNA is filed under the name uncultured bacterium. RNAcentral describes it as "bacterial SSU rRNA". It matches the Rfam family "Bacterial small subunit ribosomal RNA", at positions 355 to 825 of the family's 1533-position model. The record is from RNAcentral.